UACGUAGGGUGCGAGCGUUGUCCGGAAUUAUUGGGCGUAAAGAGCUCGUAGGCGGUUUGUCGCGUCGGCCGUGAAAACUUGGGGCUUAACUCCAAGCUUGCGGUCGAUACGGGCAGACUUGAGUUCGGCAGGGGAGACUGGAAUUCCUGGUGUAGCGGUGAAAUGCGUAGAUAUCUGGAGGAACACCGGUGGCGAAGGCGGCAUCCUGGACCGGUAUUGACGCUGAGGCGCGAAAGCCAGGGGAGCAAACGGG
RNAcentral lists this ribosomal RNA (253 nucleotides) under uncultured bacterium. RNAcentral's name for it is "partial 16S ribosomal RNA". It matches the Rfam family "Bacterial small subunit ribosomal RNA", at positions 524 to 776 of the family's 1533-position model. The record is from RNAcentral.